CGAAGAAAAAACUAAGCACAAGCGGUAGGUAAAGCUUGAGAGAUUUGAUAAAUAUAAGAAAUGCAGCGAAAACAAUCAAUUUUAUCCCGUAUUGGGGACGAGGUAAUGAUAAGAUGACAGCCACAACAGUACAUACCGCUAGCUUCGGUUUUGUAACUUUGUAACAAACAGAAGAAAAAAAAAAUACAAUAGUGAUAAAUAAGAGCAGAAGAAAGCAUACAGUCUCCAAACCAAUCGGUUACUGUAGCACAUGUGACAUGCGUACUCUCUGCGAUCGGUCAGACAUCUGACAAAUACUCAAUGUGCAAAAAUAUAACUGACAACAGUCAAUCCCAGUGCGAACGUCACAAUUGUGUGUCCCUUCGAGAAACUACGGCGGUUACUCACCUUAUAUGCUCAGCCGAUCACGUGAGUGACGGCCGCUCCCCGUCAAUUCAAAAACGCCGUCAUUUCUUUGUUGACAGUGAGAGGGAUAACACGUUCAUUAAAAUUAUGGGAGAUACUUAACAUUAUACCGGUCUAAAAGAGGAUUACUGUAUACAAGGACACAAGCGUUAUUCAGUGGUGUCGACGGAAUCGUGACAUAGACGUAUGUCCGGAAUCUGCACGUACCAUAUGGAUACCCCACACACAUAAUGGACGUCAUGACAACAGGUCAGCUGACAGGUCGAACUUUUACUGUAAAACGCUUGACCACAAGUUAUCUCAUCUCAUUGACUUUCUGGUUGUGACUAACCGUUCAACGGUUCCUGAUAAAGCACAACGCGCAUCCCGGAUAUGGCCAGACACAAGACGGCCCGCCACAAAGAUCCUCCAUUACCACGCAACCAACAGCACAAGAUUAUCCAAAGGAUUCCAGACAAACUAUGGAAACGAAGUACAAGUUUUGGGGGACGGGAGUGUUCAAAUUCAGCAGGACGGUGUUUACUGUGUUUAUAGUAUAAUAACAUUUGUUCAUACACCCAGUGACACAGAUGUUCCGAACGACGAGUAUAAGAUAAACAGAAGUCGUCACAGUAACAAGGCGGCCAUACUCUCAUCAGAUACAGUGGGCCAAACAGGACAUCUGGUGACAGAGACCUACAGGACAAUAGACCUGUCUGGAAACUUCCAUUUGAAGAAGGGAGAUUUACUGAACCUUGACAUUCGGAAUAUAUCCGCUGUUUACAUGUAUUCAUUUACACCUGCCAGCUUUUGGGGAGUAUACCAAAUUAAACCAAAGACGUGUUAAGAUUUAUUUCAAUGAAAGUUUCAAAAGCAAGAAAUGCUAUUCAUGUUUCUUCUGAGAAGUAUUUAUGGAGAUGUUAGCGCGUUCCUUUUGUUUUUGUGACGCCUCAGUACCGGUUGUUGACGUUGCCUACCGGUUUGAUUGAAUAUUAUGUCCUUGUGUGUUUAAAUUCUUACAAAUGAUUUACCUGUUGUUUUAUAAUACUCUGUUGAAAUAAUUGUUAAUGGGACAUAUUGAACACGUUACAGCCUGUGAAUAGACAGAUUACCUACAGAAUAUGGGCAGCUUGCAUUAAAUGAUGUGAAAGCGUUGACCUUUCAAAAGGAUACUGCAAUAUAGGACCAUAUAUUCAGAAGGUGAAACCAAGCACUGCAUAUAUUUCAUUUCAGGGAUGCAUUGCUUGGGUUAAUGAAACUAACCCAAGCAGAGCAUGAUUGUCUCACCACCCUUCACUAUAUGUAACAUUAAAAAGUGAUUAGUAAAAUCGAUA
Molecule: unclassified non-coding RNA, 1718 nt
Filed under: Mizuhopecten yessoensis (Yesso scallop)
Lineage: Eukaryota; Metazoa; Mollusca; Bivalvia; Pectinida; Pectinidae
Description: uncharacterized LOC110467374, transcript variant X1
Source: RNAcentral